GGUGAUGUAGCUCAGUGGUAUAGCACAUGCUUAGCGUGCACAAGGCCCUGGGUUCCAUCCCUAGCAUUUCCA
This 72-nucleotide transfer RNA is filed under the name Heterocephalus glaber (naked mole-rat). It matches the Rfam family "tRNA". From Rfam's summary of the family: Transfer RNA (tRNA) molecules are approximately 80 nucleotides in length. Lineage: Eukaryota; Metazoa; Chordata; Mammalia; Rodentia; Bathyergidae. The record is from Rfam by way of RNAcentral.